GAGCCCGUGGUCUAGUGGUAGGGCGUCGCCUUGACUUGGCGAAGGUCGGGAGUUCGAUCCUCUCCGGGCUCA
Molecule: transfer RNA, 72 nt
Filed under: archaeon
Lineage: Archaea
Description: tRNA-Val
Rfam family: tRNA
About the family: Transfer RNA (tRNA) molecules are approximately 80 nucleotides in length. Their secondary structure includes four short double-helical elements and three loops (D, anti-codon, and T loops).
Source: RNAcentral